This 466-nucleotide ribosomal RNA is filed under the name uncultured bacterium. RNAcentral's name for it is "partial 16S ribosomal RNA". It matches the Rfam family "Bacterial small subunit ribosomal RNA", at positions 28 to 507 of the family's 1533-position model. The record is from RNAcentral.
GAUGAACGCUGGCGGCGUGCUUAACACAUGCAAGUCGAACGAUGAAGCCCAGCUUGCUGGGUGGAUUAGUGGCGAACGGGUGAGUAACACGUGAGUAACCUGCCCUUGACUCUGGGAUAAGCCUGGGAAACUGGGUCUAAUACUGGAUAUGACUUCUCAUCGCAUGGUGGGGGGUGGAAAGAUUUAUUGGUCUUGGAUGGACUCGCGGCCUAUCAGCUUGUUGGUGAGGUAAUGGCUCACCAAGGCGACGACGGGUAGCCGGCCUGAGAGGGUGACCGGCCACACUGGGACUGAGACACGGCCCAGACUCCUACGGGAGGCAGCAGUGGGGAAUAUUGCACAAUGGGCGCAAGCCUGAUGCAGCGACGCCGCGUGAGGGAUGACGGCCUUCGGGUUGUAAACCUCUUUCAGUAGGGAAGAAGCGAGAGUGACGGUACUUGCAGAAGAAGCGCCGGCUAACUACGUG